AAAGUAAUGAUUGAUAGGGAUAGUUGGGGCCGCUCGUAUUGAGUUGUCAGAGGUGAAAUUCUAGGAUUUACUCAAGACGAACUAAUGCGAAAGCAUUCGGCAAGGAUGUUUUCAUUAAUCAAGAACGAAAGUUGGGGGAUCGAAGAUGAUCAGAUACCGUCGUAGUCUCAACCAUAAACUAUGUCAACCGAGGAUCCGGUAGCGUUACAUGGAUGACCUUCCGGGCACUCUGUGAGAAAUCAUAAGUAUUUGGAUUUCGGGGGGAGUAUGGUCGCAAGGCUGAAACUUAAAGGGAUUGACGGAAGGGCACCACCAGGAGUGGAAUCUGCGGCUUAAUUUGACCCAACACGGGGAAACUUACCAGGUCCGGACACAGUGAGGAUUGACAGAUUGAGAGCUCUUUCUUGAUUCUGUGGGUGGUGGUGCAUGGCCGUUUUUAGUUGGUGGAGUAAUUUGUCUGGUUAAUUCCGUUAACGAACGAGAC
RNAcentral lists this ribosomal RNA (484 nucleotides) under uncultured eukaryote. RNAcentral describes it as "SSU rRNA". It matches the Rfam family "Eukaryotic small subunit ribosomal RNA", at positions 859 to 1341 of the family's 1831-position model. The record is from RNAcentral.